Molecule: ribosomal RNA, 463 nt
Filed under: uncultured bacterium
Lineage: Bacteria
Description: bacterial SSU rRNA
Rfam family: Bacterial small subunit ribosomal RNA
Source: RNAcentral
GCCAGACUCCUACGGGAGGCAGCAGUGGGGAAUAUUGCACAAUGGGGGGAACCCUGAUGCAGCGACGCCGCGUGGGUGAAGGAGCACCUCGGUGCGUAAAGCCCUAUCGGCAGGGAAGAAAAGCGAACAGGUUCGCCUGGACGGUACCUGAAGAGGAAGCCCCGGCUAACUACGUGCCAGCAGCCGCGGUAAUACGUAGGGGGCAAGCGUUAUCCGGAUUUACUGGGUGUAAAGGGAGCGUAGACGGCAUGGCAAGUCAGAUGUGAAAGCCCGGGGCCCAACCCCGGGACUGCCCUUGGAACUGCAUGGCUGGAGUGCGGGAGGGGCAGGCGGAAUUCCUGGUGUAGCGGUGAAAUGCGUAGAUAUCAGGAGGAACACCGGCGGCGAAGGCGGCCUGCUGGACCGCGACUGACGUUGAGGCUCGAAAGCGUGGGGAGCGAACAGGAUUAGAUACCCGCGUAGU